This 468-nucleotide ribosomal RNA is filed under the name uncultured bacterium. RNAcentral describes it as "partial 16S ribosomal RNA". It matches the Rfam family "Bacterial small subunit ribosomal RNA", at positions 28 to 507 of the family's 1533-position model. The record is from RNAcentral.
GACGAACGCUGGCGGCGUGCUUAACACAUGCAAGUCGACCGGAACGGCCCUGCUAAUGUGGCGUGCUCGAGUGGCGAACGGGUGAGUAACCCGUGAUUAACCUGCUUCUGACCUUGGGUUACCUUCAGGAACCUGGGCCUAAUACCGGAUAUGCGCCCCUGCUGCAUGGUGGGGGUUGGUAAGUUUCGGCGGCUGGGGAUGGAGUCGCGGCUUAUGUGCUUGUUGGUGGGGGAGAGGCCUACCAAGGCGUUGACUGGUAGCCGGGCUUGGAGGGUGACAGGCGACAUUGGGACUAAACUACUGCCCAGGCUCCUAGGGGGGACAGCAGUGGGGAAGAUUGAACAAUGGGCGGAAGCCGGAGGCAGCAACGCCGCGUGCGGGAGGUCGGCCUUCGGGUUGUAAACCGCUUUCGCCUGUGACGAAGGGUGAGUGACGGUAAUUGGUAAGGAAGCACCGGCUAACUACGUG